UUAGCGGCCGCGAAUUCGGCCCCUUGGUUCCAGACUUUGAUUCUGGCUCAAGGACGAACGCUGGCGGCGUGCUUAACACAUGCAAGUCGAACGAGAAGAGAUGAGAAGCUUGCUUUUUAUUGAUUCGAGUGGCAAACGGGUGAGUAACGCGUAAGCAACCUGCCCCUCUAGAUGGGGACAACAGCUGGAAACGGCUGCUAAUACCGAAUACGUUUUUUCUGUCGCAUGGCAGAGGGAAGAAAGGGAGGCUCUUCGGAGCUUUCGCUGGAGGAGGGGCUUGCGUCUGAUUAGCUAGUUGGAGGGGUAACGGCCCACCAAGGCGACGAUCAGUAGCCGGUCUGAGAGGAUGAACGGCCACAUUGGGACUGAGACACGGCCCAGACUCCUACGGGAGGCAGCAGUGGGGAAUCUUCCGCAAUGGACGAAAGUCUGACGGAGCAACGCCGCGUGAACGAUGACGGCCUUCGGGUUGUAAAGUUCUGUUAUACGGGACGAAUGGUACGACGGCCAAUACCCGUCGUAAGUGACGGUACCGUAAGAGAAAGCCACGGCUAACUACGUGCCAGCAGCCGCGGUAAUACGUAGGUGGCAAGCGUUGUCCGGAAUUAUUGGGCGUAAAGGGCGCGCAGGCGGCGUCGUAAGUCGGUCUUAAAAGUGCGGGGCUUAACCCCGUGAGGGGACCGAAACUGCGAUGCUAGAGUAUCGGAGAGGAAAGCGGAAUUCCUAGUGUAGCGGUGAAAUGCGUAGAUAUUAGGAGGAACACCAGUGGCGAAAGCGGCUUUCUGGACGACAACUGACGCUGAGGCGCGAAAGCCAGGGGAGCAAACGGGAUUAGAUACCCCGGUAGCCCUGGCCGUAAACGAUGGAUACUAGGUGUAGGAGGUAUCGACCCCUUCUGU
This 899-nucleotide ribosomal RNA is filed under the name uncultured bacterium. RNAcentral describes it as "partial 16S ribosomal RNA". It matches the Rfam family "Bacterial small subunit ribosomal RNA", at positions 1 to 844 of the family's 1533-position model. The record is from RNAcentral.